CAGCUAUCCCAGGUGUAUCCCAAGUGCAUCCCAGGUGUAUCCCAGGUGCCCAGGUGUGUCCCAGGUAUCCCAAGGGUAUCCCAGGUGUAUCCCAGGUGUGUCCCAGCUAUCCCCAGUGUAUCCCAGUUUUUCCCAGUUGUCUCCCAUGUCUCCCAGGUAUCCCAGGUGUGUCCCAGGUCUAUCCCAGGUGUGUCCCAGGUGUAUCCCAGGUGUAUCCCAGAUCUUCCCAGGUGUGUCCCAGGUCUAUCCCAGGUGUGUCACAGC
This is a long non-coding RNA of Myiozetetes cayanensis, 264 nucleotides long. RefSeq lists it as uncharacterized. Lineage: Eukaryota; Metazoa; Chordata; Aves; Passeriformes; Tyrannidae. The transcript is spliced from 3 exons. The record is from RefSeq and is a predicted model, not a curated record.